RNAcentral lists this ribosomal RNA (445 nucleotides) under Penicillium glabrum. RNAcentral describes it as "eukaryotic LSU rRNA". It matches the Rfam family "Eukaryotic large subunit ribosomal RNA", at positions 190 to 650 of the family's 3401-position model. The record is from RNAcentral. Lineage: Eukaryota; Fungi; Ascomycota; Eurotiomycetes; Eurotiales; Aspergillaceae.
CUGGAACGGACCGUCAUAGAGGGUGAGAAUCCCGUAUGGGAUGGGGUGUCUGCGCCCAUGUGAAACUCCUUCGACGAGUCGAGUUGUUUGGGAAUGCAGCUCUAAAUGGGUGGUAAAUUUCAUCUAAAGCUAAAUAUUGGCCGGAGACCGAUAGCGCACAAGUAGAGUGAUCGAAAGAUGAAAAGCACUUUGAAAAGAGAGUUAAAAAGCACGUGAAAUUGUUGAAAGGGAAGCGCUUGCGAUCAGACUCGCCUUGGGGGUUCAGCCGGCAUUCGUGCCGGUGUACUUCCCCCAGGGCGGGCCAGCGUCGGUUUGGGUGGCCGGUCAAAGGCCCUUGGAAUGUAACGCCUCUCGGGGCGUCUUAUAGCCAAGGGUGCCAUGCGGCCUACCUGGACCGAGGAACGCGCUUCGGCUCGGACGCUGGCAUAAUGGUCGUAAGCGACCC